Molecule: non-coding RNA, 29 nt
Filed under: Homo sapiens (human)
Lineage: Eukaryota; Metazoa; Chordata; Mammalia; Primates; Hominidae
Source: RNAcentral
UCCACAUUACCUCCCAGAAGUUGCCGUGA